This 22-nucleotide non-coding RNA is filed under the name Arabidopsis thaliana (thale cress). Lineage: Eukaryota; Viridiplantae; Streptophyta; Magnoliopsida; Brassicales; Brassicaceae. The record is from RNAcentral.
CUCCAGCGCCACCACCACCACC